UAUUCCAAUUAUAGUACCUUUUCACAUUUCGUCAGGAGCACGAGCGGCGCUCCGCCUAUGUUAUCACCACAAUCGGCCGCUCGCGAGCCGUGGACUAUAAGAACGGAGUCGAAUCGAGCGAAACGAAUUAUUACAUUAUGCCAGUCUUAAUUUCUGUGCCUGUCAAGUAUCGACAAAAGUUGCAAUCGCUAUACUGAAAGGCGUGAGAGACUGAAUUAGUAUGUUGCCUACAUUAAUACUCCAGGACUGCAUUCACGAAGCACUUACUUUCCACGAACUGCCUUUUACUGGUCGGUCCGUCUUCUCACGAGCUAGCAUUGCGCAUCAACGGUUCCACGAAUUUUAUUUCUUGGUGGUGUUUUACGUCGCAACCCAGUCGGUCAGACGCAGUUGGAAAAAAAGCAAAAGUGAAAAGAAUACCUGCGUCGCCUCGAAUGCAUUAUCGCAGGGGGGACAGUUCAGGCUUCAGUCUUUCACCCUUCGCCUGCUGCAGACCGGGUCCUAUCCCAGCCUAGCCAGGGUCAGCAGAACCAGGAUCAUCUCACCACGGAAGACGAGUGGCAGGAGGCGCUCAAGAGCUCCAACCUCGCCGCUCCAGCUACGGGCCAUCCAGAGGGCCCGCGGCGCGGCGGUCGGGCACGGCCUGCCCGUCCCGACGUGGGAGCGGCCCGCAGCGGCUCCUCCCUCGUAAGGGGGUUUCGGAGUCGCUCCUCGGGACCUUGAUGAAGUUCACUGCCUGCCUGCCUGUCAGAUAUUGAAACACAUUCCUCCGGUAACAAAUUCCAAUCUGUCACAGUUUGUGGAAAAAAGGAUUUGGCAAAACGCCCCGUUUUGCCAGAUCCUUUUUUACAGCUGAAUUCUCGCACCUUCUUUGAGUGGUCGAGUCGAGCGAAGACGUAAGUUGGCUCCGACAGGUACUUGCGGCUAUCAGUGCCAGUUUGAUAUAGAAAAUACGGUGAAAGAAUUUCAGUUUUAAAUUUUUUCUUCUGGUGAUUAAUGUUUUCCAGCCCAGCAAUGCUUUUAUUUCAGUGAUACUUUCGAGAGGGUUGUAAUCAUUGGAGACGAAGCGUGCAGCCUGAUUUUCAAGUUCUUCUAUUACUUGCAUCAAAUAUUCCUGAUAUGGGUCCCAAAUCAUAGAGGCACAACCGAGGAUAGAUCUGACAUGAAAAAAAUGAAGUGUUUCUUGAACUUCUUUGGACGCUGAUCUGAAAUUUCUACGAAUAAAAAACAUUUUACUUGCCUC
Dermacentor andersoni is the source of this 1243-nucleotide long non-coding RNA. RefSeq lists it as uncharacterized. The record is from RefSeq and is a predicted model, not a curated record. NCBI's taxonomy places the organism in Eukaryota, Metazoa, Arthropoda, Arachnida, Ixodida, Ixodidae.